GGGGAAGGCAUUGGAAAAUUAAAUCAGUCCACAUUUAUUGAGCACUUGCUGUAUGUUCAUCUCAGAGUUAGGAAAUCAAUCCCUGCCCUCAAGAAGCUUAUGGCCUAAUGGGGCAGACAGUAUACAAAUAUGUAGAAAGCUCUUGUCCUAGUGUGCUGGGGGAGAGGGCUACUUGCUGUUGUUCUGGGUACGUGACUUUGGAGCACUGAUUGUUCUAGCUUCAGGGGGAGACCCAGAGAUAAACUCAAGCACACAGAAGUGUGUGUGUGUGUGUGUGUGUGUGUGUGUGUAAAACCCUGGCACUGAGAAGGUCUCCCACUGGGGAGCAGUCUGUCUGGGGUCCCACCAUUGUCAUCAGGGAAGCAGAUGAAUAUACGUGACUCCUCAGCCCUGGUUCCCAGUUGUUCCCUGUCCCAGCCUCGUCGUGGAAUCUUAGAAUUUAGGGCUGGGAGGUACCGUAGGGAUUCCGACAACUCCCUGUUGUUGCGCCCAGAAAAGCGAAGCCGUUUGCCUGAAAUCUUGUCCCAAGAGCAGGGCCGGGUCUCCUCCUCCCCCUUAACUCUUUCUCUAGCAAGCCGAGCGAAAGCACCUGCUGCAGGGAGGCAGGGAGCCGGCUGACGUCGAGUGCCGAGACGGAGCCUCCAGGGUGGGGCUCCAGCCAUCCGGGAUUCCACUGGAAACUGGAGCCAGGAAUUGGAAAGAUGAGGAGGGGAAGGAGAGGGAAAAGAAUAGGGAAAAUGUAGGAGAAAGAGUGGAUUGUCAUUCUCCAACGCCCUUGCCCCAAGGCCUCUCUGGGCACCUCCCUUUGCAAAAUAUAAAUAAAAGUAAAUUGCAAAAAUAGGCCAGUGCCAUCUCCCUCAGAGGCUGCCUCAGCAAGAACCAAGGGAGGCUGGUCCGAGCCUCAACCUGUGGGAAUAGGCUAAAAAGGAGGCCUGAGAUGGGUAGAGAAGACCCUGAUCCUCCCCUCCCCCCAAAAAAGCAGACCCCCCACCCCAGCCUCAGUUUCCCCAUCUGUAAAAUAGGUGAGUAGGAUGUGGGGGCGUCUUCCAAGUGUAGUCACACUUCUCUGAUUCAGCCCCACGGCAAACUUUGAUUUCUGGUUUUCGUCCCCAGCAUGAAGUGAGUGCUCAAUAAGGUGAGCGAUGGCUUUUAUUAAACACCCACUGUUGGCCGCCGCUGCGUGUCAGGUGAUGGGGACACAGACCAAAGUAAAACAAAUCCUGCCCUCCAGCGGCUUACACUGGGGAGGGGGAGAGGACGGUGCAGCCACAGGAAGUAAACACAAAGAACACACCAGGCCAGCGUGAUGUCAGCCGAGCCCUUCCUUAAAGAAGCCCCGCUCGCUCCCUCCCCUUCUCCGGCCCCGGGAUGGGGAGCCCUGCCCUCCCCACCGGUCCUGGGGGUCUCCCUGGAGACGGAGGGGGGCCAGCCCCGGGAAGGCCGAGGAGCUGAGCCGGAGCGGGGCCUCGGAGGGCUGGGGAGGACUAGGAGAUGGAAAGAGUCGGCAGAAGGAGCCCGUUCCCUUCUCCCCAGAGAAUGUGGAGGAGGGAGGAGGGGACAAUACAGCCUGGUCCUGUGAUGAGAUGGAAGAGAUAGGAAAUCUAGCCCGACGGUUGCAUCAGCUGAAGGGCGUGUUCCUCACCUCAGAUGACAGGAGGAGCAGGGAGUGGGAGCCUGGUUCCGAGGGGCGCCGGGAGCCCGAGGAGGCCCCCGGGUUUGGGCCCCGGGGCCGAGCGGGGACGUGUGUGGGCACAGGAGGGAGCGUGCUCCGGAGCCUUCCCUUGCCCACUUUGCACCAUCUGUGUUUUAUGAGCACAUCCGGGAGACCGGGUAGACAGUGGGGCAGCCCAGGCUGGAAGGCAGCUCCCCUGCCCGCUUCCCCAGCUCCCCGAGGAUGGGCUGCACCAAGAGACCCCGUGAGGGGGGACAGUGAAAAGAAGCUGCCCGACUGGCUCUGGGGUCGCAGGGCAUCCUCAGGGGUCACCAGAGCAGAUCCCUAGGUCUAAAUGGGGGGAGGGCCAGCAGCCCCCAUUCUCUUCCUCCUCAGCUGGCACCCGAGCGGCGCAGGGGGCUGGGGGACAAAGAGGACCGGGCCUGGUGGGCCCCUUCCAUUCUCGGUCCGGUCCUGCUAGAUAGGAGGUGGUGCAGGGCCCGCUCAUCGGGGCUUGUUGCAAAGAGGAGGCCGCAGGGAGCAGUGGGGAGAGCCGGGACGUCCUUGCAGCCGCUCCCUGACCUCAGUUUCCCUCCCUGUUAAUUUGGGGGGCUGGAAGUAAGGCAGGCUCCUCGGGAGGGAGGGAGCGAGCUUCCGCGCACUCGGAGGGGACGCAUGCCGGCCCGGCGCCCCCGCCCCAGCUCCCCCAGUUGGAAGCGCUGCUCCGGCCCCGCGCACGCCCCCGCCCCCGGGCUGCGCCCGAUGCCUCUCGCCGGGUAAAUACGGCAAAGGUUUGUUUUAAGGAGAAAGAGGCUUCCUUGCGUGUUUACUCGGCACACCCUGCUCAACCGCCCAGGGAUUCUUUUCUUCUGCGAACUAAAAAAAAGCAGCAACAACCAAAAAGACAAAGAAAGAGGAAAUUCUGAGUAAGGAAAUUAAAAAAGAAAAAAACAAACCAAACAAAAACCCCUUUAUGCCCAAAUAACCCCGAGCCUUCGGGGAGGGCCGGAAACCGGGGAGGGAGGACGGGCGAGCGGAGCGCCUGCAGCGCGGAACUGGGGGCAGCGUGCGGGACCGGCUCACACCCCCGUGUCACCGCGGGAGCCCGCCCCGCCGCCCCGCUCAUUCAUCGCCUCCCAGCACCGCGCGCCCCGCUCGGCUCCGGCGUCCCCGGCACGGCCGGCAGUCCGGCUUCGGGGCGCGCCGCGCUCCAGGUGCGGGGCUCCCGCCGCCUCCGCGGCCUCGCCCUGACACCCGCGCCCCGGCCCCGGAGCCCGGGGGGGAAAGUUUGCCGCCGGGCGCCGCCGGGCGCGGGAGCCCGAGCUCUGCUCGGGCCGGGGGAGCGGGGAGCGGGAGGGAACGGGCCGUGCGGCCCCGGGGGGCUCAGCCGGGAGAUGCUCGCCUCGGGCGGCGCGGGCGUGGGCACACACACGGACGGGGCGCUGUGGGCGGGGGGCACCGGGGUCCCGAGUGUCCCGCGGGCCGCGCGCGCCUGUGCUCGCGUGGGAACGGCCCCGGCGGCCUCCCCUCCGCCGGGACCCCGGGCUGGGCUUUCUCGGCGCCUCCCGCCCCUGCGCGCUGGCCGGGCUCCGGAGUCCCCGCCUCCCUUCUCCCGGAGUCAGAGGUUUGGGGAAUCACGGAGCCAAUAAGGCCAGCCGGCUGCCAGCGGGCCCUGAUAGGGCGGUCCGGGCUGGGAGAGUGGGAGAGUGUGCGUGUGUGUGUGUGCAUGUGCGUGUGCGCGCGCGUCUGUUGGUGGUGCGCGGGGUGCGUUCGCCCCGAGAGCGCCGAGGCGCAUUCACUUUCAGCAUCUCGGGGAGGCGGCGAUCCCGGAGCGAGCGCAGCGCCCGGGCGGGCAGCGGGGAGAGCGCGCAGAGAGAGCCCCAGCGAGCCGGGCCCGGGCCGGAGCCAGCCAGCCUCUGAUCUUUCACCUGCCCCUGGGCCGGCGCUGGGCAAGGCCGGGAGGAGGCGGCGCCAAGGCCGGCCCUGCCAAUCAUCUCCUCUCCUGGCGGCGCCCCCGGCGCCCCCCUCCCGCCCUCCCCCCCUCCUCCUCCUCCUCCCCGGCUCCACUCCCUCCUGCCAAACUGUUAGCCCGAGUGUUACCGUCAGGCGCAAUGACAUCAGGGUUUUAAAACAACUUGUUAUUCGGGGAGUAAUCAGUUGCAAUUAGGCAUUAAUUAAGUAUUAUGAAAGUUGAUUAUUUAAGUGAAUUCGGCUUUCGACUCUCCGACUAUGAGUUUGGGACCAAAACGAGGAGA
RNAcentral lists this long non-coding RNA (3906 nucleotides) under Sarcophilus harrisii (Tasmanian devil). Its description in RNAcentral is "lncRNA (ENSSHAG00000022925.1)". The record is from RNAcentral. Lineage: Eukaryota; Metazoa; Chordata; Mammalia; Dasyuromorphia; Dasyuridae.